GACGAACGCUGGCGGCGUGCUUAACACAUGCAAGUCGAACGGAAAGGCCCUGCUUUUGUGGGGUGCUCGAGUGGCGAACGGGUGAGUAACACGUGAGUAACCUGCCCUUGACUUUGGGAUAACUUCAGGAAAAUGGGGCUAAUACCGGAUAGGAGCUCCUGCUGCAUGGUGGGGGUUGGAAAGUUUCGGCGGUUGGGGAUGGACUCGCGGCUUAUCAGCUUGUUGGUGGGGUAGUGGCUUACCAAGGCUUUGACGGGUAGCCGGCCUGAGAGGGUGACCGGCCACAUUGGGACUGAGAUACGGCCCAGACUCCUACGGGAGGCAGCAGUGGGGAAUAUUGCACAAUGGGCGGAAGCCUGAUGCAGCAACGCCGCGUGCGGGAUGACGGCCUUCGGGUUGUAAACCGCUUUCGCCUGGGACGAAGCGUGAGUGACGGUAAUGGGUAAAGAAGCACCGGCUAACUACGUG
Molecule: ribosomal RNA, 468 nt
Filed under: uncultured bacterium
Lineage: Bacteria
Description: partial 16S ribosomal RNA
Rfam family: Bacterial small subunit ribosomal RNA
Source: RNAcentral